Molecule: ribosomal RNA, 801 nt
Filed under: Salmonella enterica subsp. enterica serovar Typhimurium
Lineage: Bacteria; Pseudomonadati; Pseudomonadota; Gammaproteobacteria; Enterobacterales; Enterobacteriaceae
Description: bacterial LSU rRNA
Rfam family: Bacterial large subunit ribosomal RNA
Source: RNAcentral
CACCCGAGACUCAGUGAAAUUGAACUCGCUGUGAAGAUGCAGUGUACCCGCGGCAAGACGGAAAGACCCCGUGAACCUUUACUAUAGCUUGACACUGAACAUUGAGCCUUGAUGUGUAGGAUAGGUGGGAGGCUUUGAAGUGUGGACGCCAGUCUGCAUGGAGCCGACCUUGAAAUACCACCCUUUAAUGUUUGAUGUUCUAACGUGGACCCGUAAUCCGGGUUGCGGACAGUGUCUGGUGGGUAGUUUGACUGGGGCGGUCUCCUCCUAAAGAGUAACGGAGGAGCACGAAGGUUGGCUAAUCCUGGUCGGACAUCAGGAGGUUAGUGCAAUGGCAUAAGCCAGCUUGACUGCGAGCGUGACGGCGCGAGCAGGUGCGAAAGCAGGUCAUAGUGAUCCGGUGGUUCUGAAUGGAAGGGCCAUCGCUCAACGGAUAAAAGGUACUCCGGGGAUAACAGGCUGAUACCGCCCAAGAGUUCAUAUCGACGGCGGUGUUUGGCACCUCGAUGUCGGCUCAUCACAUCCUGGGGCUGAAGUAGGUCCCAAGGGUAUGGCUGUUCGCCAUUUAAAGUGGUACGCGAGCUGGGUUUAGAACGUCGUGAGACAGUUCGGUCCCUAUCUGCCGUGGGCGCUGGAGAACUGAGGGGGGCUGCUCCUAGUACGAGAGGACCGGAGUGGACGCAUCACUGGUGUUCGGGUUGUCAUGCCAAUGGCACUGCCCGGUAGCUAAAUGCGGAAGAGAUAAGUGCUGAAAGCAUCUAAGCACGAAACUUGCCCCGAGAUGAGUUCUCCCUGAGACUU